UUCCCUGUGGCUCAGUUGGUAGAGCAUGGUGUGUGCAACGCCAGGGUUGUGGGUUUGAUUCCCACGGGGGGUG
RNAcentral lists this transfer RNA (73 nucleotides) under Salmo salar (Atlantic salmon). It matches the Rfam family "tRNA". From Rfam's summary of the family: Transfer RNA (tRNA) molecules are approximately 80 nucleotides in length. Their secondary structure includes four short double-helical elements and three loops (D, anti-codon, and T loops). The record is from Rfam by way of RNAcentral. Lineage: Eukaryota; Metazoa; Chordata; Actinopteri; Salmoniformes; Salmonidae.